UACGUAGGAGGCGAGCGUUGUCCGGAAUUACUGGGCGUAAAGAGCGCGUAGGCGGCACGGUACGACACGUGUGAAAGCCCCCGGCUCAACUGGGGAGGGUCACGUGUAACGGCCGAGCUAUUGAGUGCAGGAGAGGGAAGUGGAACUCCGGGUGUAGCGGUGAAAUGCGUAGAUAUCGGGAGGAACACCUGUGGCGAAAGCGGCUCACUGGACCACAACUGACGCUGAUGCGCGAAAGCUAGGGGAGCAAACAGG
RNAcentral lists this ribosomal RNA (255 nucleotides) under uncultured prokaryote. Its description in RNAcentral is "partial 16S ribosomal RNA". It matches the Rfam family "Bacterial small subunit ribosomal RNA", at positions 524 to 776 of the family's 1533-position model. The record is from RNAcentral.